GUGAAUCAUCGAAUUUUUGAACGCAAAUUGCACUCUCUGGUAUUCCGGAGAGUAUGCCUGUUUGAGGGUCAGUUUAAAGAAAAAUCGAUGUGGUUGCUGCCUUUCGUGGUGACGCACCGUAUGUGGUUCUACUUGCCUUCGGUUAAGUGACCUAAAGUUUUACAUGAGUUGUGCGAAGGUAUUUAAAUAAUUUUACGUACGUUUGCGAUAUCAAAUACUAGUUUCGGUGAUCCUCAUGAUCCUCUCUUUGAG
This 252-nucleotide unclassified non-coding RNA is filed under the name Glomus sp. RNAcentral's name for it is "partial contains 5.8S ribosomal RNA and internal transcribed spacer 2". The stretch from base 1 to 71 matches the Rfam family "5.8S ribosomal RNA", at positions 84 to 154 of the family's 154-position model. The record is from RNAcentral. Lineage: Eukaryota; Fungi; Glomeromycota; Glomeromycetes; Glomerales; Glomeraceae.